CCCGUUGGUCAAGUGGUUAAGACACCGCCCUUUCACGGCGGUAACACGGGUUCGAAUCCCGUACGGGUCA
Molecule: transfer RNA, 70 nt
Filed under: Bacillus anthracis (anthrax bacterium)
Lineage: Bacteria; Bacillati; Bacillota; Bacilli; Caryophanales; Bacillaceae
Also listed under: 7 other names
Description: tRNA-Glu
Rfam family: tRNA
About the family: Transfer RNA (tRNA) molecules are approximately 80 nucleotides in length. Their secondary structure includes four short double-helical elements and three loops (D, anti-codon, and T loops). Further hydrogen bonds mediate the characteristic L-shaped molecular structure. tRNAs have two regions of fundamental functional importance: the anti-codon, which is responsible for specific mRNA codon recognition, and the 3' end, to which the tRNAs corresponding amino acid is attached (by aminoacyl-tRNA synthetases). tRNAs cope with the degeneracy of the genetic code in two manners: having more than one tRNA (with a specific anti-codon) for a particular amino acid; and 'wobble' base-pairing, i.e. permitting non-standard base-pairing at the 3rd anti-codon position.
Source: RNAcentral